GAUGGACGCUGGCGGCGUGCCUAAUACAUGCAAGUCGAGCGAACAGACGAGGAGCUUGCUCCUCUGACGUUAGCGGCGGACGGGUGAGUAACACGUGGAUAACCUACCUAUAAGACUGGGAUAACUUCGGGAAACCGGAGCUAAUACCGGAUAAUAUAUUGAACCGCAUGGUUCAAUAGUGAAAGACGGUUUUGCUGUCACUUAUAGAUGGAUCCGCGCCGCAUUAGCUAGUUGGUAAGGUAACGGCUUACCAAGGCAACGAUGCGUAGCCGACCUGAGAGGGGGACGGGACACACGGGAACGGAGACAGGGCCCAGACCCCUACGGGAGGCAGCAGUAGGGAAUCUUCCGAAAUGGGCGAAAGCCUGACGGAGCAACGCCGCGGGAGGUAUGAAGGGCUUCGGAUCGUAAAACUCUUUUAUUAGGGAAAAAAAAAUGUGUAAGUAACUAUGCACGUCUUGACGGUACCUAAUCAGAAAGCCACGGCUAACUACGU
Molecule: ribosomal RNA, 496 nt
Filed under: uncultured bacterium
Lineage: Bacteria
Description: partial 16S ribosomal RNA
Rfam family: Bacterial small subunit ribosomal RNA
Source: RNAcentral